CAGCAGUCGCCGCGGGAAUACGUAGGUGGCAAGCGUUGUCCGGAAUUAUUGGGCGUAAAGGGCUCGCAGGCGGCUUCUUAAGUCUGAUGUGAAAGCCCCCGGCUCAACCGGGGGGGUCAUUGGAAACUGGGAAACUUGAGUGCAGAAGAGGAGAGCGGAAUUCCACGUGUAGCGGUGAAAUGCGUAGAGAUGUGGAGGAACACCAGUGGCGAAGGCGGCUCUCUGGUCUGUAACUGACGCUGAGGAGCGAAAGCGUGGGGAGCGAACAGGAUUAGAUACCCGCGUAGUCCCUGUCUCUUAUACA
Molecule: ribosomal RNA, 304 nt
Filed under: uncultured bacterium
Lineage: Bacteria
Description: partial 16S ribosomal RNA
Rfam family: Bacterial small subunit ribosomal RNA
Source: RNAcentral